RNAcentral lists this ribosomal RNA (381 nucleotides) under Mayamaea permitis. RNAcentral describes it as "SSU rRNA". It matches the Rfam family "Eukaryotic small subunit ribosomal RNA", at positions 582 to 971 of the family's 1831-position model. Lineage: Eukaryota; Bacillariophyta; Bacillariophyceae; Sellaphorales; Sellaphoraceae. The record is from RNAcentral.
AUUCCAGCUCCAAUAGCGUAUAUUAAAGUUGUUGCAGUUAAAAAGCUCGUAGUUGGAUUUGUGGCGGCGCCUGCGGUCCCAAUUGUUUGGGUAUUGUCGGGCGCUGCCAUCCUUGGGUGGAACCUGUGUGGCAUUAGGUUGUCGUGCAGGGGAUGCCCAUCGUUUACUGUGAAAAAAUUAGAGUGUUCAAAGCAGGCUUAUGCCGUUGAAUAUAUUAGCAUGGAAUAAUAAGAUAGGCCUUUGGUACUAUUUUGUUGGUUUGCGCACCAAAGGAAUGAUUAAUAGGGACAGUUGGGGCUCUUCGUAUUCCAUUGUCAGAGGUGAAAUUCUUGGAUUUCUGGAAGACGAACUACUGCGAAAGCAUUGAGCAAGGAUGUUUUC